Molecule: non-coding RNA, 135 nt
Filed under: Propionibacterium freudenreichii
Lineage: Bacteria; Bacillati; Actinomycetota; Actinomycetes; Propionibacteriales; Propionibacteriaceae
Also listed under: 1 other name
Description: FMN sequence
Rfam family: FMN riboswitch aptamer (RFN element)
About the family: The RFN element is a highly conserved domain that is found frequently in the 5'-untranslated regions of prokaryotic mRNAs that encode for flavin mononucleotide (FMN) biosynthesis and transport proteins. This element is a metabolite-dependent riboswitch that directly binds FMN in the absence of proteins.
Source: RNAcentral
CACGUGCUUCGGGGUCGGUGUAAUUCCGAACCGGUGGUGAUAGUCCACGACCCGUCACGCUGCGCAAGCAGGGCGACGGUUGAUCUGGUGAAACUCCAGGACCGACGGUGAAAGUCCGGAUGGGAGAAGUUCACG